GCGGCGGACGGGUGAGUAAUGCUUAGGAAUCUGCCUAUUAGUGGGGGACAACAUUCCGAAAGGAAUGCUAAUACCGCAUACGCCCUACUGGGGAAAGCAGGGGAUCUUCGGACCUUGCGCUAAUAGAUGAGCCUAAGUCAGAUUAGCUAGUUGGUGGGGUAAAGGCCCACCAAGGCGACGAUCUGUAGCGGGUCUGAGAGGAUGAUCCGCCACACUGGGACUGAGACACGGCCCAGACUCCUACGGGAGGCAGCAGUGGGGAAUAUUGGACAAUGGGCGAAAGCCUGAUCCAGCCAUGCCGCGUGUGUGAAGAAGGCCUUUUGGUUGUAAAGCACUUUAAGCGAGGAGGAGGCUACUUGGAUUAAUACUCUAGGAUAGUGGACGUUACUCGCAGAAUAAGCACCGGCUAACUCUGUGCCAGCAGCCGCGGUAAUACAGAGGGUGCGAGCGUUAAUCGGAUUUACUGGGCGUAAAGCGUGCGUAGGCGGCUUUUUAAGUCGGAUGUGAAAUCCCUGAGCUUAACUUAGGAAUUGCAUUCGAUACUGGGAAGCUAGAGUAUGGGAGAGGAUGGUAGAAUUCCAGGUGUAGCGGUGAAAUGCGUAGAGAUCUGGAGGAAUACCGAUGGCGAAGGCAGCCAUCUGGCCUAAUACUGACGCUGAGGUACGAAAGC
RNAcentral lists this ribosomal RNA (670 nucleotides) under uncultured Acinetobacter sp. RNAcentral's name for it is "bacterial SSU rRNA". It matches the Rfam family "Bacterial small subunit ribosomal RNA", at positions 95 to 760 of the family's 1533-position model. The record is from RNAcentral. Lineage: Bacteria; Pseudomonadati; Pseudomonadota; Gammaproteobacteria; Moraxellales; Moraxellaceae.